This 484-nucleotide ribosomal RNA is filed under the name uncultured bacterium. Its description in RNAcentral is "partial 16S ribosomal RNA". It matches the Rfam family "Bacterial small subunit ribosomal RNA", at positions 29 to 507 of the family's 1533-position model. The record is from RNAcentral.
AUUGAACGCUGGCGGCAUGCUUUACACAUGCAAGUCGAACGGCAGCGCGGGCUUCGGCCUGGCGGCGAGUGGCGAACGGGUGAGUAAUGCAUCGGAACGUGCCCAGUAGUGGGGGAUAGCCCGGCGAAAGCCGGAUUAAUACCGCAUACGACCUGAGGGUGAAAGCAGGGGACCGAAAGGCCUCGCGCUAUUGGAGCGGCCGAUGUCGGAUUAGCUAGUUGGUGGGGUAAAGGCUUACCAAGGCGACGAUCCGUAGCUGGUCUGAGAGGACGACCAGCCACACUGGGACUGAGACACGGCCCAGACUCCUACGGGAGGCAGCAGUGGGGAAUUUUGGACAAUGGGGGCAACCCUGAUCCAGCCAUGCCGCGUGCGGGAAGAAGGCCUUCGGGUUGUAAACCGCUUUUGUUCGGGAAGAAAUCCUCUGGGCUAAUACCCCGGGGGGAUGACGGUACCGGAAGAAUAAGCACCGGCUAACUACGUG